AAUAGAGGAACGAAGGCUUAAAAAAAUCACGUCCUGUGAUCCGCCUUCGUGACCAACAUCGUGUCGC
This 67-nucleotide small RNA is filed under the name Lysinibacillus xylanilyticus. RNAcentral's name for it is "Bacillaceae-1 RNA". It matches the Rfam family "Bacillaceae-1 RNA". Lineage: Bacteria; Bacillati; Bacillota; Bacilli; Caryophanales; Bacillaceae. The record is from RNAcentral.